UACGUAGGGUGCGAGCGUUAAUCGGAAUUACUGGGCGUAAAGCGUGCGCAGGCGGGCUUUUAAGCCAGACGUGAAAUCCCCGGGCUUAACCUGGGAAUGGCGUUUGGGACUGGGAGUCUGGAGUGCGGCAGAGGAGACUGGAAUUCCUGGUGUAGCAGUGAAACGCGUAGAUAUCAGGAGGAACACCGAUGGCGAAGGCAGGUCUCUGGGCUGACACUGACGCUCAUGCACGAAAGCGUGGGGAGCAAACAGG
This 253-nucleotide ribosomal RNA is filed under the name uncultured bacterium. Its description in RNAcentral is "partial 16S ribosomal RNA". It matches the Rfam family "Bacterial small subunit ribosomal RNA", at positions 524 to 776 of the family's 1533-position model. The record is from RNAcentral.